Molecule: ribosomal RNA, 253 nt
Filed under: uncultured bacterium
Lineage: Bacteria
Description: partial 16S ribosomal RNA
Rfam family: Bacterial small subunit ribosomal RNA
Source: RNAcentral
UACGUAGGGGGCAAGCGUUGUCCGGAUUUACUGGGCGUAAAGAGCGUGUAGGCGGCCACGCAGGUCCGUUGUGAAAACUGGAGGCUCAACUUCCAGCCGUCGACGGAAACCGUGUGGCUAGAGUCCGGAAGAGGAGAGUGGAAUUCCUGGUGUAGCGGUGAAAUGCGCAGAUAUCAGGAAGAACACCCGUGGCGAAGGCGGCUCUCUGGGACGUGACUGACGCUGAGACGCGAAAGCGUGGGGAGCGAACAGG